This 399-nucleotide ribosomal RNA is filed under the name uncultured bacterium. Its description in RNAcentral is "bacterial SSU rRNA". It matches the Rfam family "Bacterial small subunit ribosomal RNA", at positions 328 to 744 of the family's 1533-position model. The record is from RNAcentral.
GCUCCAGACUCCUACGGGAGGCAGCAGUGAGGAAUAUUGCACAAUGGAGGAAACUCUGAUGCAGCAACGCCGCGUGGAGGAUGACGCAUUUCGGUGCGUAAACUCCUUUUAUUAGGGAAGAUAAUGACGGUACCUAAUGAAUAAGCCCCGGCUAACUCCGUGCCAGCAGCCGCGGUAAUACGGAGGGUGCAAGCGUUACUCGGAAUCACUGGGCGUAAAGGGUGCGUAGGCUGGCUUUUAAGUCAGAUGUGAAAUCCAAUGGCUCAACCAUUGAACUGCAUUUGAAACUGAAAGCCUAGAGUUCAGAAGGGGCAGAUGGAAUUAGUGGUGUAGGGGUAAAAUCCGUAGAUAUCACUAGGAAUAUCAAAAGCGAAGGCGAUCUGCUGGGAUGAUACUGAC